RNAcentral lists this ribosomal RNA (440 nucleotides) under uncultured bacterium. Its description in RNAcentral is "partial 16S ribosomal RNA". It matches the Rfam family "Bacterial small subunit ribosomal RNA", at positions 338 to 795 of the family's 1533-position model. The record is from RNAcentral.
CCUACGGGAGGCAGCAGUAGGGAAUAUUGCUCAAUGGGGGAAACCCUGAAGCAGCAAAGCCGCGUGGAGGAUGAAGGUUUUCGGAUUGUAAACUCCUUUUGUUAGAGAAGAUAAUGACGGUAUCUAACGAAUAAGCACCGGCUAACUCCGUGCCAGCAGCCGCGGUAAUACGGAGGGCGUAAGCGUUACGCGGAAUCACUGGGCGUAAAGAGCGCGUAGGCGGGUUAGCAAGUCAGAUGUGAAAUCCUAGGGCUUAACCCUAGAACUGCAUUUGAUACUGUUAUUCUAGAGUUUGGGCGCGGUAGGUGGAAUUCUUGGUGUAGAGGUGAAAUCCGUAGAGAUCAAGAAGAAUACUCAUUGCGAAGGCGACCUACUGGAACAUUACUGACGCUCAUGCACGAAAGCGUGGGGAGCAAACAGGAUUAGAUACCCUUGUAGUC